This 623-nucleotide ribosomal RNA is filed under the name uncultured Bacteroidota bacterium. RNAcentral describes it as "bacterial SSU rRNA". It matches the Rfam family "Bacterial small subunit ribosomal RNA", at positions 355 to 975 of the family's 1533-position model. Lineage: Bacteria; Pseudomonadati; Bacteroidota. The record is from RNAcentral.
UGAGGAAUAUUGGACAAUGGGCGGGAGCCUGAUCCAGCCAUGCCGCGUGCAGGAAGACUGCCCUAUGGGUUGUAAACUGCUUUUAUACAGGAAGAAUAAGCCUUACGUGUAAGGUGAUGACGGUACUGUAAGAAUAAGGACCGGCUAACUCCGUGCCAGCAGCCGCGGUAAUACGGAGGGUCCGAGCGUUAUCCGGAAUUAUUGGGUCUAAAGGGUCCGUAGGCGGAUGAUUAAGUCAGGGGUGAAAGUUUGCAGCUCAACUGUAAAAUUGCCUUUGAUACUGGUUAUCUUGAGUUGUAUUGAAGUAGGCGGAAUAUGUAGUGUAGCGGUGAAAUGCAUAGAUAUUACAUAGAACACCAAUUGCGAAGGCAGCUUACUAAGUACUAACUGACGCUGAUGGACGAAAGCGUGGGUAGCGAACAGGAUUAGAUACCCUGGUAGUCCACGCCGUAAACGAUGGAUACUAGCUGUCCGGGACCUUGAGUUCUGGGCGGCCCAGCGAAAGUGAUAAGUAUCCCACCUGGGGGGUACGUUCGCAAGAAUGAAACUCAAAGGAAUUGACGGGGGCCCGCACAAGCGGUGGAGCAUGUGGUUUAAUUCGAUGAUACGCGAGGAACCUUACC